This 1234-nucleotide ribosomal RNA is filed under the name metagenome. Its description in RNAcentral is "bacterial LSU rRNA". It matches the Rfam family "Bacterial large subunit ribosomal RNA", at positions 1564 to 2808 of the family's 2925-position model. The record is from RNAcentral.
UGAAUACGAGACGCUAAGGCGUCGAAGUAGUGUAUGUCAUACUUCCAAGAAAAGCUUGCACUGUCAUAGAUAAAAAACGCCUGUACCAUAACCGACACAGGUGGGUAGGUAGAGUAUACUAAGGGGCGCGAGAUAACUCUCUCUAAGGAACUCGGCAAAAUAACUCCGUAACUUCGGGAGAAGGAGUGCCUUAUUCUUAAGGUUGCAAUAACAAGAUCCAAGCAACUGUUUACCAAAAACACAGGUCUCCGCUAAGUCGUAAGACGAUGUAUGGGGGCUGACGCCUGCCCAGUGCCAGAAGGUUAAAGAAGCUGGUUAGCAUUUGCGAAGCUAGUAACUGAAGCCCUGGUAAACGGCGGCCGUAACAAUAACGGUCCUAAGGUAGCGAAAUUCCUUGUCGGGUAAGUUCCGACCCGCACGAAAGGCGUAAUGAUUUGGAUACUGUCUCGGAGAGGGGCUCGGUGAAAUAGACUUGUCUGUGAAGAUGCGGACUACCUGCACCAGGACAGAAAGACCCUAUGAAGCUUUACUGUAACUGAAAUUGAAAUUGGACUUUAUUCGCGCAGUAUAGGUGGGAGGCUUUGAUUAUAAUCUUGCGGGAUUAUUGGAGCCAUUAGUGAGAUACCACUCUUGUAAUGUUAGAUUUCUAACUUUGAAUCAUUAUCUGGUCAAAGAACAGUUUCAGGCGGGCAGUUUGACUGGGGCGGUCGCCUCCUAAACGGUAACGGAGGCGUACAAAGGUUUCCUCUGAACGGUUAGAAAUCGUAUCUAGAGUGUAAAGGCAUAAGGAAGCUUGACUGUGAGACCUACAAGUCGAGCAGGGACGAAAGUCGGUCUUAGUGAUCUGACGGUACUGAGUGGAAAGGCCGUCACUCAACGGAUAAAAGUUACUCUAAGGAUAACAGGCUGAUCUCCCCCAAGAGUUCACAUCGACGGGGAGGUUCGGCACCUCGAUGUCGGCUCAUCGCAUCCUGGGGCGGUAGUACGUCCCAAGGGUUGGGCUGUUCGCCCAUGAAAGCGGUACGCGAGCUGGGUUCAGAACGUCGUGAGACAGUUCGGUCCAUAUCCGGUGUAGGCGUUAGAAUAUUGAGAGGAGCCUUCUUUAGUACGAGAGGACCGAGAAGGACAUACCUCUGGUGUACCAGUUAUCGUGCCAACGGUAAACGCUGGGUAGCUAUGUAUGGAGUGGAUAACCGCUGAAAGCAUCUAAGUGGGAAGCCCACCUCAAGAUAAG